UACGUAGGCAGCAAGCGUUGUUCGGAAUUACUGGGCGUAAAGAGUGUGUAGGCGGUGCUCUAAGUCUGUUGUGAAAUCUCCCGGCUUAACUGGGAGGGUGCGGCGGAGACUGGAGUGCUAGAGUAUGGGAGAGGUAAGCGGAAUUCCUGGUGUAGCGGUGAAAUGCGUAGAUAUCAGGAGGAACACCUGUGGUGUAGACAGCUUACUGGACCACGACUGACGCUGAGACACGAAAGCGUGGGUAGCAAACAGG
This 253-nucleotide ribosomal RNA is filed under the name uncultured bacterium. RNAcentral describes it as "partial 16S ribosomal RNA". It matches the Rfam family "Bacterial small subunit ribosomal RNA", at positions 524 to 776 of the family's 1533-position model. The record is from RNAcentral.